AUGCCUUGAUGGUGAAAUGGUAGACACGUGAGACUCAAAUCUCGUGCUGAAAAGCAUGGAGGUCAAUCCUCUUCAGGCA
This 79-nucleotide transfer RNA is filed under the name Anthoceros angustus. RNAcentral's name for it is "tRNA-Leu (CAA)". The record is from RNAcentral. Lineage: Eukaryota; Viridiplantae; Streptophyta; Anthocerotopsida; Anthocerotales; Anthocerotaceae.